Molecule: unclassified non-coding RNA, 3722 nt
Filed under: Leishmania donovani
Lineage: Eukaryota; Euglenozoa; Kinetoplastea; Trypanosomatida; Trypanosomatidae
Description: gene:LdHU3.10.1010(CDS-product:flagellar_glycopro tein-like_protein)
Source: RNAcentral
AAACAAGGAACAAUACCAACACCUGCAACGGGCACUUCUCUCAAGGCGACGACGCGCUGGCCCGCUGCCGCCCCCUCCUUCCCCCUCUUCUUUUCGAAACGCGUUUCACGUCUGCACUGCUCACCUCCGGUUUCUCGUGUUGGGUAUUGUCUGCGUCUCUGUGUGGUUGUGUCUUUGGCUCCCCUCUUCCCCCCCACUUGAAACCGUCCUCCGUGCGUGCGCGGGUGUUUCUCUUUUCUGUCUCACCCUAUACCCAUCGCGGCUGCACCAACAGAGUGCCUGGCGAAGAGCACAGAAAGGAGGGGUCGCACACUUUAGACAGGAGGAACGCCACGGCAGCCCGCCCUCCUCGCCCACCCGGCCGCCGCCCCACCGUCACCCUCCUUCAUUUUCUCAUUGUUACCUGCCUCAUCUGUUUUCCUUAGCUCUUGCUUGUGUAUCUUUUCUGGUAUAGCAGAUUCAAGUUGCACCCCCUCGCCCCUCCCUGCCACCACCUGUCUGUGUAAGAGUGAGCUCGUUCGUCUGCCCUCCGCCACCACACCCACCAUUCUUUUUUUACUCUCCUUUCCAUUUCGGUAGUACAUAGGCGCGCACACGCGCACAACGAGCGUGAGCCUUGUUCCCCCCCCUCGCCCCUCGCCUGCCGCCGCCGCCUCUUCCAGUCGUCGCAGCACACAAACGCACGCGAGCGGAUGUCGCGGUGCGCAGCUGUCACGACAAGGCGAUGGCCGGUACGGCGGGCACGGGGACCGUCGCCCCACCAGCUCUUUGCCGCCGCCCUGGCUGUUCUCUGUAUUUUGUUGCACCGCCCGGCCGCCGCGCAAGGCUCGAGCUCCAGCGACUACUACGAUGGCACAUACUAUUACCACGUCAUCUUCCGCAGCGCCCCGGGCGGUGGCGACUCGACAGAUGGUCCCAGUGGAGUGGGCAUAUACGGUGUAGUCGGCUACGGCGGCGCCAUGGUCGGCGGCGGGGUCGUGUUCUCGGACAUGGGAGGCAGCGGCUCUGCCAUUCGCUUGAUCUCCAAGGCAGGUUAUCUUUCCACCAUUGCCGGCAAUAACAGAAAGAGAGGCGACCAGGACGGCCCUUCCCCAGACGCCCUCUUCGGCGGCAUCCCUACUGGUGACAGUCGUGCCAACUCCCUCGCGUACGGUAACGGCGGCUUCUACUUGGCUGAUACCCUAAACAACGCCCUUCGCUUCACCAACGCCACGACGAAUGUGACAACAACGAUUUUAAACGCGAAUACCCUGAAUACGCCAAACUCGCUUGCCGUUUCGAUCAUCAGCAGCAAAACCUCCGUCUUCAUCUCCAAUACCGGCUACCAUAGUGUUCUAUAUAUUCCGAGCCUGGGCAGUCCGGUAGGGCAGGUGAACUUCACCAGCGACCCCUACUUCGUGCCAGGCGCGAUCACCGUUCUGUCCCAUCUCAGUCGCGCCUUCAUCAUGAACGCGACCUUGCAGAUGUACUGCUGGUCUUACAUCCAGCCCAGCUCCAAGUCGUGGAAGGUGAGCACGCCUCUCGCAGCCGACUUUGGUCGAAUCCUUCAAGCGAGCAAAGACGGUACCCAGGUGUUGUAUGUGACCGCCAACGGCAGCACAAUCGCCGGUCUUGACGCGACAGCAUCUUCGGCUACCUCGCCGUCGCUGGUGCCGCAGAAAAUGAUCGACCUUGACACUUCGUUGAUCGGCGGUAAGAUUCAGCUCUUCUUUGAGCGUACCUCAGACAGUUGGUACAUCCUCACCACUACCCAGUUUUUGAUUGUCUCAGCGACCCCUAUCCAUCCGGAAGAGAGCAGCAGUAGCGGCAGCAGCAGCAGCAGCAGUAGCAGCAGCAGCAGCGAAGGCAUCCUUUCAGGUCGUCACAAAGGUAUUGCAGCCUUCCCUACAGCAGCCUUUCCCACCAACGACAGCUGCCUCAUGACCCAGGUCUACAACUGGAUGCGCAUCGACGCUACGGAGGCGUACAACACCGACGACUUUCUGAACGAGUUCGUGGUACCUCCAACAAACAUCACGACGCUCGUGGACGGCGACGUGAACGUUUCGACGUGGUGCGGCAACAUUACCACCGACCGCAGCAACGACGGCACGAUUUCGAUUUUGAUAUUCUGGGGCCCGCGAGGCCACGACGUGUUGUACACGCAAGAUCGCUUGGUGAAAUCCCCGUGGAAACGGACGCGAGCGUUUUUGAACUCGCUGAAUAGCAGUGGCUGGAACCUUGGCCCCUUCUGCUUCUACAACUGCACUACCGCCUGUAAGACGAUCACGGCCCCCAAGUGCCCCGCGUACAACAUCGGAUCGGCGUGCGACGACGUGUGCAAGGGUGCCAUCGCGUCCUCAGUGGUGUUAGCAGCGGCUGGCGUCGUGCUCCUUAUACUCAUGAUUGUUAGUCCAUCGAACAUCUUCACGGCGGUGGUGAUGGUGCCUAUCAUUUAACUAGAGAUCACGCCUGCCCUUCGCUGUUUUCGUUGGACUCUGCGUGCGUGCGUGCGUGUGCGUGUUUCAAUGUAAAAAAAGGCGGGGCGCGAAGGAGAGACCCGACUCUCCCCACCACUUGCCCUCCUUUUCCUCCUCCCCACACGGAUCACCAUACGCACAGGGCCGCACCGCUCACUCAGAACAUGUUAUAUAUAUAUAUAUCAUGUUGUAGAGGGGCAGACAGGACGUUGUCUCUCUCUCUCUCUCGCUUUCUUUUUUUUUUUGUUAGAAUCACGUAGAGACGCGAACGCAGGCAGGCGACAAGGGAAAAGGAGGGAGAGAUGUUUGAAAGAUUCGCAUGCCUGUGUGCGUGUGCGGUGCACUGAUUUAGUGAAAGAAUAGAGGCGAGCAUGACAUGCUUGCUGCUGUUGUUGUCAGUGCGUUGUGUUCGGUUAUGCAGGGGGCGGCGGCGGCGGGGAUGCGCCGUUGCCGUACCCCUUCCCUUCAUUCUUCUCUUUGGACCAUCAUAUGUUUCUCUCACAAAUAUACACACACUGAAUGGGCUUUUAUGUAGUGGCACUCAUGCAGCACCGGGAGGGGCGGCGGUAAGGAAAGAGGUUCAGAAUCAACAUCUGCAGAAGAAGCGCGGAUUUUCUUCCUGUGAUGUCUUCGUGCGCGUGCAGCUGUGCGCUUCAUCUCCCCGUGGUGCGUGCCCCGUCCCUCUCCCCGCCUCGCCGCUCUUUUUCAUGUCUUUGGGUGUGCAUUUUUUUCUUUUUUUUUGGAGGGGAGGGGGGGGGCCUUUGUCCAUUGAUUCUUGUUUAUUCAGCAUGUGUUCGUCCCUUCUUCCGCUCACGUCCGUUGUGUGCCCCCUCCCCUGCACCCCCCCCUCCUCCCCUUCUGCGUCUCUCUUCCUCUGCGUCUCUUGUCUGUGUGCGUGUGUGUCUGUGCCGAGGCCAAUAUCGGGAAAGCACAAAAAAAAAUUCACAAAAAAAUGAGAUGCAAUCCAACAGUGUCCCCCCUCCCCGUAGUGUCAAGCCCCUGCCAACCACAAGAUGGAAGUGACGCGGUCCAUCAAGGUAGGUAGCCGGCAACUCUCGAUGUGUACUCGAAAACGUACAAGGAUUUGUGUGAGUGUGUGUGUGUGUGUGCUCUCGAGGGUGACGCUGAGGAUCGGGGGGGGUCCUUGCUGCACACUUGAUAUGAUCUUCUCCAUCGCUCUCGUCGUGAGGUCGCAGCGCGCGAUGAGGGAGAGAGCAAAGCAGUAGAGCGAUAUCGUCUUUCGUACCGGAUGGCCGUUCUGGG